RNAcentral lists this ribosomal RNA (981 nucleotides) under Oidiodendron sp. RNAcentral describes it as "SSU rRNA". It matches the Rfam family "Eukaryotic small subunit ribosomal RNA", at positions 59 to 1049 of the family's 1831-position model. Lineage: Eukaryota; Fungi; Ascomycota; Leotiomycetes; Myxotrichaceae. The record is from RNAcentral.
UCUAGUAUAGCAAUCUAUACCGUGAAACUGCGAAUGGCUCAUUAAAUCAGUUAUCGUUUAUUUGAUAGUACCUUACUACUUGGAUAACCGUGGUAAUUCUAGAGCUAAUACAUGCUAAAAACCUCGACUUCGGAAGGGGUGUAUUUAUUAGAUAAAAAACCAAUGCCCUUCGGGGCUCUCUGGUGAUUCAUAAUAACUUAACGAAUCGCAUGGCCUUGUGCCGGCGAUGGUUCAUUCAAAUUUCUGCCCUAUCAACUUUCGAUUGUAUGGUCUUGGCUUACAAUGGUUUCAACGGGUAACGGGGAAUUAGGGUUCUAUUCCGGAGAGGGAGCCUGAGAAACGGCUACCACAUCCAAGGAAGGCAGCAGGCGCGCAAAUUACCCAAUCCCGACACGGGGAGGUAGUGACAAUAAAUACUGAUACAGGGCUCUUUUGGGUCUUGUAAUUGGAAUGAGUACAAUUUAAAUCCCUUAACGAGGAACAAUUGGAGGGCAAGUCUGGUGCCAGCAGCCGCGGUAAUUCCAGCUCCAAUAGCGUAUAUUAAAGUUGUUGCAGUUAAAAAGCUCGUAGUUGAACCUUGGGCCUGGCUGGCCGGUCCGCCUCACCGCGUGCACUGGUCCGGCCGGGCCUUUCCUCCUGGGGAGCCGCAUGCCCUUCACUGGGUGUGCCGGGGAACCAGGACUUUUACUUUGAAAAAAUUAGAGUGUUCAAAGCAGGCCUAUGCUCGAAUACAUUAGCAUGGAAUAAUAGAAUAGGACGUGUGGUUCUAUUUUGUUGGUUUCUAGGACCGCCGUAAUGAUUAAUAGGGAUAGUCGGGGGCAUCAGUAUUCAAUUGUCAGAGGUGAAAUUCUUGGAUUUAUUGAAGACUAACUACUGCGAAAGCAUUUGCCAAGGAUGUUUUCAUUAAUCAGUGAACGAAAGUUAGGGGAUCGAAGACGAUCAGAUACCGUCGUAGUCUUAACCAUAAACUAUGCCGACUAG